RNAcentral lists this transfer RNA (72 nucleotides) under Tannerella sp. RNAcentral's name for it is "tRNA-Glu". It matches the Rfam family "tRNA". From Rfam's summary of the family: Transfer RNA (tRNA) molecules are approximately 80 nucleotides in length. Their secondary structure includes four short double-helical elements and three loops (D, anti-codon, and T loops). Lineage: Bacteria; Pseudomonadati; Bacteroidota; Bacteroidia; Bacteroidales; Tannerellaceae. The record is from RNAcentral.
GGCCUGUUCGUCUAUCGGUUAGGACAUGAGAUUCUCAUUCUUAAAAGAGGGGUUCGAUUCCCCUACAGGCUA